CAGCAGCCGCGGUAAUACGUAGGUGGCAAGCGUUGUCCGGAAUUAUUGGGCGUAAAGGGCUCGCAGGCGGUUUCUUAAGUCUGAUGUGAAAGCCCCCGGCUCAACCGGGGAGGGUCAUUGGGAACUGGGAAACUUGAGUGCAGAAGAGGAGAGUGGAAUUCCACGUGUAGCGGUGAAAUGCGUAGAGAUGUGGAGGAACACCAGUGGCGAAGGCGACUCUCUGGUCUGUAACUGACGCUGAGGAGCGAAAGCGUGGGGAGCGAACAGGAUUAGAUACCCCAGUAGUCCCUGUCUCUUAUAU
This 301-nucleotide ribosomal RNA is filed under the name uncultured bacterium. RNAcentral describes it as "partial 16S ribosomal RNA". It matches the Rfam family "Bacterial small subunit ribosomal RNA", at positions 509 to 809 of the family's 1533-position model. The record is from RNAcentral.